CACACACACACACACACACACACACACACACCAGACACGACAAUCACUCACCGUUCAGCAAAAUUCGCCGUAUUGAAACCAAAAUAGGUGACCU
Molecule: long non-coding RNA, 94 nt
Organism: Etheostoma spectabile (orangethroat darter)
Lineage: Eukaryota; Metazoa; Chordata; Actinopteri; Perciformes; Percidae
Exons: 3
Source: RefSeq, a predicted model, not a curated record